Molecule: ribosomal RNA, 774 nt
Filed under: uncultured Neocallimastigales
Lineage: Eukaryota; Fungi; Neocallimastigomycota; Neocallimastigomycetes; Neocallimastigales
Description: partial large subunit ribosomal RNA
Rfam family: Eukaryotic large subunit ribosomal RNA
Source: RNAcentral
UAUCUCUGUAGAGUCUGCAUAUCAAUAAGCGGAGGAAAAGAAACUAACAAGGAUUCCCUUAGUAACGGCGAGUGAAGCGGGAAGAGCUCAAAUUUGAAAUCUUCAAGGUUCUACCUUGACGAAUUGUAGUUUAAAGAAGUGUUUUCUGUUAGAUGAGUAGCAAAAGUUCCUUGGAAUGGGACAUCAUAGAGGGUGAGAAUCCCGUAUUUGGUUAUUCAUUCUAGCUUUGUGAUACACUUUCAAAGAGUCGGAUUGUUUGGGAAUGCAGUCCAAAAUGGGUGGUAAAUUUCAUCUAAAGCUAAAUAUUGGCGAGAGACCGAUAGCGAACAAGUACCGUGAGGGAAAGAUGAAAAGAACUUUGAAAAGAGAGUUAAACAGUACGUGAAAUUGUCAAAAGGGAAGCGUUUGACACCAGUGUUGUUUUUCCGAAAAUCAAUUACGAAUGGCUUGAUUUUGUGUUGUAUUGACCUUAUCAGCUUUCUUCACUUUUUUCGAGUCUUUCUUAAUGCACUUUUUGGUUAACAAGUCAACAUCAAUUUCUUUUGUUGUAAAAGAGUAUUCGGAAGGUGGCUUUCUUUUCGGAGAAAGUGUUUAUAGCCCUAUACUUCUACAAUCGGAGAGAUUGAGGUCUGCAGCGUAGAUCCUUCGGGGUUAGAUACACUUGUGCUAAGUUGUAGCUUUUCAUAGACAACUUGUUGACUAUGUUUAGUCAUGCGGCUUACUCGCUUGUGCUAUUUUACCUACGCUUAGGAUGUUGACUGAUAUGUAGUCGUA